UAACCUGCCCAAGAGAUCGGGAUAACACCUGGGAACAGAUGCUAAUACCGGAUAACAACAGAUGAUGCCUAUCAACUGUUUAAAAGAUGGUUCUGCUAUCACUCUUGGAUGGACCUGCGGUGCAUUAGCUAGUUGGUAGGGUAACGGCCUACCAAGGCGAUGAUGCAUAGCCGAGUUGAGAGACUGAUCGGCCACAUUGGGACUGAUACACGGCCCAAACUCCUACGGGAGGCAGCAGAA
This 240-nucleotide ribosomal RNA is filed under the name uncultured Lactobacillus sp. RNAcentral's name for it is "partial 16S ribosomal RNA". It matches the Rfam family "Bacterial small subunit ribosomal RNA", at positions 122 to 354 of the family's 1533-position model. Lineage: Bacteria; Bacillati; Bacillota; Bacilli; Lactobacillales; Lactobacillaceae. The record is from RNAcentral.